Rosa rugosa (rugosa rose) is the source of this 848-nucleotide long non-coding RNA. RefSeq lists it as uncharacterized. The record is from RefSeq and is a predicted model, not a curated record. The transcript has 2 exons. NCBI's taxonomy places the organism in Eukaryota, Viridiplantae, Streptophyta, Magnoliopsida, Rosales, Rosaceae.
CAAAAGGCUUUGAUCGUUGUGAAUGAUUAUGAAUCACUCUCCAAUCAAUCAAAUGACCUUGAAUUUCUUCUGAAUAUGAGUCCGGAUUGAGGGCAUCCCGCCGACCUAUCUCACUCAACCUACGAUCAAUGUAAUCUGGGAAACUUUGGGACCUGUGAGAGUAAUUGAUCAACGUUGAGUUCGUGGUGACAAAGUUGGGGUUUGGAUUGGGAUUGAAAUCCCUCUCCCAGCCCUGUUAAGCUGUGCUUGCACUUUCCAUUUGCCCCGAGUGAAAUUCUGAAUCUCACUUUCUAGUAUGAGCAUCUAGUUGGUUGCUACAGGGUGUUGGGGCUCGGUGUACAUUGGCAAACCAGCCUCAUCCGCCAAUUAUAGCGAGUUGGAUAUGUCAACUUUCCACUGAAGAGAAGCAUAUUGUGACGAUUCAAAAAGUUGCUAGAAGUGUCAAUGGAGACACCUCUUCCUCUAUUGACUAGAAAUAGGUCUAGUAGAGAGGAAGAGCCUGAUCGAGAGUGAAAGCGAGCUCGCGUUGCCCUAGGUUUAGCUUAUAAUACCCUCCGAUUCAAGCAGUCAGGGCUUGGCUUUGAUGAGAGUGGCCUGGUGGAGGUUAUGGUGUAUGCAUCCUCGCAGAUCAAAUGUAAUCGUGGGAGACCACAGGUGUUGCGCAAUAAACCUAGGGAUCAGGAUGACUACAGACCUUCCUCGCCAUAAUUAUUGGCCUUGGACACUUCCCUAGCUUCAGCAGGAAAGUGCAAUAUCAGUUUCACCUAUUUGGUAGCGCACACUUGACUCACUAUAGUUACAUUUUGACCUAUUUUGUAGUGCAUACUUGACUUACUGUGGUUUCCUUU